RNAcentral lists this ribosomal RNA (87 nucleotides) under Paramormyrops kingsleyae. The record is from RNAcentral. Lineage: Eukaryota; Metazoa; Chordata; Actinopteri; Osteoglossiformes; Mormyridae.
AUUAGCAAUCGCUACCCGCAAACCACAAAGGUUUGGCCAGGCCAGUACUUGGAUGGAAGACCAAUUAGGAAAGCUGGGUUGCUGCUA